RNAcentral lists this transfer RNA (68 nucleotides) under Kogia sima (dwarf sperm whale). RNAcentral's name for it is "partial tRNA-Pro". The record is from RNAcentral. Lineage: Eukaryota; Metazoa; Chordata; Mammalia; Artiodactyla; Physeteridae.
UCAAGGAAGAGGCAUUCACACCCCACCAUCAACACCCAAAGCUGAGAUUCUACAUAAACUAUUCCUUG